RNAcentral lists this transfer RNA (82 nucleotides) under Kazachstania africana CBS 2517. RNAcentral's name for it is "tRNA-Leu (CAA) (tRNA-Leu-CAA-2-1)". It matches the Rfam family "tRNA". From Rfam's summary of the family: Transfer RNA (tRNA) molecules are approximately 80 nucleotides in length. Their secondary structure includes four short double-helical elements and three loops (D, anti-codon, and T loops). The record is from RNAcentral. Lineage: Eukaryota; Fungi; Ascomycota; Saccharomycetes; Saccharomycetales; Saccharomycetaceae.
GGUUGUUUGGCCGAGCGGUCUAAGGCGCCUGAUUCAAGCUCAGGAAUCGUAAGAUGCAGGAGUUCGAAUCUCCUAGCAACCA